Molecule: ribosomal RNA, 279 nt
Filed under: uncultured bacterium
Lineage: Bacteria
Description: partial 16S ribosomal RNA
Rfam family: Bacterial small subunit ribosomal RNA
Source: RNAcentral
UGCCAGCCGCCGCGGUAAUACGUAGGAUGCAAGCGUUGUCCGGAAUCACUGGGCGUAAAGGGUCCGUAGGCGGUUUGUUAAGUCUUCUGUGAAAGUUCAGGGCUCAACCCUGAAAUGUCGGGGGAUACUGGCAAACUUGAGACUGUCAGAGGCAAGUGGAAUUCCCGGUGUAGUGGUGAAAUGCGUAGAUAUCGGGAGGAACACCAGUGGCGAAAGCGGCUUGCUGGGACAGUUCUGACGCUGAGGGACGAAAGCGUGGGUAGCAAACCGGAUUAGAUA